GAGCGAACAGGAUUAGAUACCCUGGUAGUCCACGCCGUAAACGGUGGGUGCUAGUUGUGGGCCACAUUCCACGUGGUCCGUGACGAAGUUAACACAUUAAGCACCCCGCCUGGGGAGUACGGUCGCAAGACUAAAACUCAAAGGAAUUGACGGGGGCCCGCACAAGCGGCGGAGCAUGCGGAUUAAUUCGAUGCAACGCGAAGAACCUUACCAAGGCUUGACAUAUAGAGGAAACGUGCAGAAAUGUACGCCCCGCAAGGUCUCUAUACAGGUGGUGCAUGGUUGUCGUCAGCUCGUGUCGUGAGAUGUUGGGUUAAGUCCCGCAACGAGCGCAACCCUCGUCCUAUGUUGCCAGCACGUAAUGGUGGGAACUCAUGGGAGACUGCCGGGGUCAACUCGGAGGAAGGUGGGGAUGACGUCAAAUCAUCAUGCCCCUUAUGUCUUGGGCUUCACGCAUGCUACAAUGGCCAGUACAAAGGGCUGCAAUACCGUAAGGUGGAGCGAAUCCCAAAAAGCUGGUCUCAGUUCGGAUUGAGGUCUGCAACUCGACCUCAUGAAGUCGGAGUCGCUAGUAAUCGCAGAUCAGCAACGCUGCGGUGAAUACGUCCCCGGGGCCUGUACACACCGCCCGUCAAGUCACGAAAGUCG
RNAcentral lists this ribosomal RNA (648 nucleotides) under uncultured Actinomycetes bacterium. RNAcentral's name for it is "bacterial SSU rRNA". It matches the Rfam family "Bacterial small subunit ribosomal RNA", at positions 766 to 1413 of the family's 1533-position model. Lineage: Bacteria; Bacillati; Actinomycetota; Actinomycetes. The record is from RNAcentral.